CCCAUGUCUUUUGCGCACUUGUUGUUUCCUGGGCGGGUUCGCCCGCCACCANGGACCAAACCAUAAACCUUUUUUUCUUAUGCAGUUUCCAUCAGCGUCAGUAAAAACAAUGUAAUUAUUACAACUUUCAACAACGGAUCUCUUGGUUCUGGCAUCGAUGAAGAACGCAGCGAAAUGCGAUACGUAGUGUGAAUUGCAGAAUUCAGUGAAUCAUCGAAUCUUUGAACGCACAUUGCGCCCUUUGGUAUUCCAAAGGGCAUGCCUGUUCGAGCGUCAUUUGUACCUUCAAGCUUUGCUUGGUGUUGGGCGUUUUUUUGUCUCCCUCUUUCUGGGAGACUCGCCUUAAAACGAUUGGCAGCCGGCCUACUGGUUUCGGAGCGCAGCACAUUUUUUGCGCUUUGUAUCAGGAGAAAAGGACGGUACUCCAUCAAGACUCUACAUUUUUCACUUUUGACCUCGGAUCAGGUAGGGAUACCCGCUGAACUUAAGCAUA
This 493-nucleotide ribosomal RNA is filed under the name Bipolaris oryzae. RNAcentral's name for it is "eukaryotic LSU rRNA". The stretch from base 123 to 276 matches the Rfam family "5.8S ribosomal RNA". Lineage: Eukaryota; Fungi; Ascomycota; Dothideomycetes; Pleosporales; Pleosporaceae. The record is from RNAcentral.